CCUGCCCUUAGAAGCAUUGCAGGUGUUGCUGCUGUGUUACAUAUGCCUCAGUAGGUGGGAGAGAGGAGAGAGGCUAUAUCUACACUGUUAUGAUGUUUGAACAUGUAAAUGAUUAGUAGCAUAACAUU
Psammomys obesus (fat sand rat) is the source of this 128-nucleotide small nucleolar RNA. RefSeq annotates it as small nucleolar RNA SNORA17. NCBI's taxonomy places the organism in Eukaryota, Metazoa, Chordata, Mammalia, Rodentia, Muridae. The record is from RefSeq and is a predicted model, not a curated record. The transcript has a single exon.